This 497-nucleotide ribosomal RNA is filed under the name uncultured bacterium. Its description in RNAcentral is "partial 16S ribosomal RNA". It matches the Rfam family "Bacterial small subunit ribosomal RNA", at positions 28 to 507 of the family's 1533-position model. The record is from RNAcentral.
GAUGAACGCUGGCGGCGUGCCUAAUACAUGCAAGUCGAGCGAACAGACGAGGAGCUUGCUCCUCCGACGUUAGCGGCGGACGGGUGAGUAACACGUGGAUAACCUACCUAUAAGACUGGGAUAACUUCGGGAAACCGGAGCUAAUACCGGAUAAUAUAUUGAACCGCAUGGUUCAAUAGUGAAAGACGGUUUUGCUGUCACUUAUAGAUGGAUCCGCGCCGCAUUAGCUAGUUGGUAAGGUAACGGCUUACCAAGGCGACGAUGCGUAGCCGACCUGAGAGGGUGAUCGGCCACACUGGAACUGAGACACGGUCCAGACUCCUACGGGAGGCAGCAGUAGGGAAUCUUCCGCAAUGGGCGAAAGCCUGACGGAGCAACGCCGCGUGAGUGAUGAAGGUCUUCGGACCGUAAAACUCUGUUAUUAGGGAAGAACAAAUGUGUAAGUAACUAUGCACGUCUUGACGGUACCUAAUCAGAAAGCCACGGCUAACUACGUG